UGGAUAAAAUAAUUAGAACCGAAUCGAGUUGAACCAUAACUUUUUCGGUUUCUUAUGGAUCUUCAGAGUUUAGAACCGAAAGAAGCAAACCGAAUAUAAAUGAAUGCUCUGGCCUAGUAUUUAUGUACUAAAUUAUUAUAAUUAUAUAU
Molecule: small RNA, 149 nt
Filed under: Arabidopsis thaliana (thale cress)
Lineage: Eukaryota; Viridiplantae; Streptophyta; Magnoliopsida; Brassicales; Brassicaceae
Description: ATSL182820
Source: RNAcentral